AGGAAAGAAGACCACAGGGUCCCAGGCCUCAUGGAGCUCACGGCCCUGUGAUUGUGAUGCCCUCGGUCUGUUGAUGGCGGGGCUUAAAUAGCCUGAAUUUCUGGAGCUCUGGCGUCUGCAAGGUGGCCUGGGAAAGAGUUUAUGGAACAGCUACAGAGUUCUAGGUACCUUCAUGCAGUUGAGGAUUCGAGCCCGUAGAGGAGAAUCGCCUGCAGCGUGGCCCCACGGGAAAGCACAUUCCAGGCGCAUUCCGAGGAUGAGCGGAGACCAUGUAUGGAAAGGAGGGGAGACAAACAGUAACAGAAUAGACAAAUGCAAGAGAGAGUGACUCUGGACCCCUCCCACAACGGCCUCCUAACAAUGGAGCAUGAGCAGAUACCUGCAGGAUGGAGGGUCCUGUGCAGGC
This 406-nucleotide long non-coding RNA is filed under the name Homo sapiens (human). RNAcentral describes it as "non-protein coding lnc-COQ8A-3:1". The record is from RNAcentral. Lineage: Eukaryota; Metazoa; Chordata; Mammalia; Primates; Hominidae.